GCGGACGUGGCGGAAUUGGUAGACGCACCAGAUUUAGGUUCUGGCGCCGUAAGGUGUGAGAGUUCAAGUCUCUCCGUCCGCACCA
This 85-nucleotide transfer RNA is filed under the name Aliivibrio fischeri. RNAcentral describes it as "tRNA-Leu". It matches the Rfam family "tRNA". From Rfam's summary of the family: Transfer RNA (tRNA) molecules are approximately 80 nucleotides in length. Their secondary structure includes four short double-helical elements and three loops (D, anti-codon, and T loops). The record is from RNAcentral. Lineage: Bacteria; Pseudomonadati; Pseudomonadota; Gammaproteobacteria; Vibrionales; Vibrionaceae. RNAcentral also lists the same sequence under 16 other names.